AAAACGACUCUCGGCAACGGAUAUCUAGGCUCUCGCAUCGAUGAAGAACGUAGCAAAAUGCGAUACUUGGUGUGAAUUGCAGAAUCCCGUGAACCAUCGAGUUUUUGAACGCAAGUUGCGCCCAAAGCCAUUCGGCCGAGGGCACGUCUGCCUGGGCGUCUCA
RNAcentral lists this ribosomal RNA (163 nucleotides) under Primula filchnerae. RNAcentral's name for it is "5.8S ribosomal RNA". It matches the Rfam family "5.8S ribosomal RNA". Rfam says of the family: 5.8S ribosomal RNA (5.8S rRNA) is a component of the large subunit of the eukaryotic ribosome. It is transcribed by RNA polymerase I as part of the 45S precursor that also contains 18S and 28S rRNA. Functionally, it is thought that 5.8S rRNA may be involved in ribosome translocation. RNAcentral also lists the same sequence under 2 other names. Lineage: Eukaryota; Viridiplantae; Streptophyta; Magnoliopsida; Ericales; Primulaceae. The record is from RNAcentral.